Molecule: non-coding RNA, 29 nt
Filed under: Rattus norvegicus (Norway rat)
Lineage: Eukaryota; Metazoa; Chordata; Mammalia; Rodentia; Muridae
Source: RNAcentral
UAACUGUUUAAGGUGUUUCUCAGGAGUUA